This 617-nucleotide ribosomal RNA is filed under the name uncultured bacterium. RNAcentral describes it as "bacterial SSU rRNA". It matches the Rfam family "Bacterial small subunit ribosomal RNA", at positions 338 to 947 of the family's 1533-position model. The record is from RNAcentral.
CCUACGGGAGGCAGCAGCGGGGAAUUUUGGACAAUGGGGGCAACCCUGAUCCAGCAAUGCCGCGUGAGUGAAGAAGGCCUUCGGGUUGUAAAGCUCUUUUGUCAGGGAAGAAACGGGUGGGGCUAAUAUCCUCAUCUAAUGACGGUACCUGAAGAAUAAGCACCGGCUAACUACGUGCCAGCAGCCGCGGUAAUACGUAGGGUGCAAGCGUUAAUCGGAAUUACUGGGCGUAAAGCGUGCGCAGGCGGUUAUGUAAGUCAGAUGUGAAAUCCCCGGGCUCAACCUGGGAACUGCAUUUGAGACUGCAUGGCUAGAGUGUGUCAGAGGGGGGUAGAAUUCCACGUGUAGCAGUGAAAUGCGUAGAUAUGUGGAGGAAUACCGAUGGCGAAGGCAGCCCCCUGGGAUAACACUGACGCUCAUGCACGAAAGCGUGGGGAGCAAACAGGAUUAGAUACCCUGGUAGUCCACGCCCUAAACGAUGUCUACUAGUUGUCGGGACUUAAUUGUCUUGGUAACGCAGCUAACGCGUGAAGUAGACCGCCUGGGGAGUACGGUCGCAAGNUUAAAACUCAAAUGAAUUGACCGGNUGAGAGNGCGAGACGACGACGAGGGAGAGG